Molecule: long non-coding RNA, 683 nt
Filed under: Glycine max (soybean)
Lineage: Eukaryota; Viridiplantae; Streptophyta; Magnoliopsida; Fabales; Fabaceae
Description: long non-coding RNA (GMAX_LNC003646)
Source: RNAcentral
UUUUAUAUUGUGAUUUAAUAAUCAUAUUUAUGAUGGUAUGACAAGCCAACAGUGCCCUAGCUUGAUGCAAUGUGAAUCGUUUAUUUUGUCGGUGCAAUCUUGGUUGUUGCUGAUAAUUGACUCACGAUAGAACAAUACAAUAUGAUAAUAAAUAUGAUUGGUAUGAGGAUGCUCAAUGCAUUGUGUUGGAUCUUUCACUAUAUUAGGUUGAAGAUGGAGGGGAGUAGUUGCUAUUGUGUAUUAUGAUGGUGAUGUGGUACAAACUUCUGAGGAGGUAUAGUUUGAAUGUCUAAAUGGUCCUAAAUUCAUAAAAAUUAGUGAGGAAAUGUUGCUUAUUGCUUUGAGGAAAGUAGUCACAAAUGUCAUCAAAGGCAAAAGAAGCAGGCAGAAGAAGCUUAUUUGAGGUUUUUUUUAUUGUAAACAUAUAUAUGUAGGUAAUGGUUGUGCUUAGUAUGACUGCAUGGAGCUUAAAGACACAAUGAAGUGGGGAAAACGUUUUUCAUCUUUUCAUAAUUUAGUUCUAAAGGUCUGAUCAAGUUGUAUGCGAUGGUUAGCCGAUCUCCAAAAGAAUUCUUUGCCCUGGUGAGAAACCAAGAAAACCAAGACCUACCGAAGAAAUCAUUUCUGUGAUGCAUAGAUCAAUGGUGACAACAAGCUCUAAUGAAGAUCAUAACUCUAUUUAG